GAUGAACGCUGGCGGCGUGCCUAAUACAUGCAAGUCGAGCGAACAGACGAGGAGCUUGCUCCUCUGACGUUAGCGGCGGACGGGGGAGUAACACGUGGAUAACCUACCUAUAAGACUGGGAUAACUUCGGGAAACCGGAGCUAAUACCGGAUAAUAUAUUGAACCGCAUGGUUCAAUAGUGAAAGACGGUUUUGCUGUCACUUAUAGAUGGAUCCGCGCCGCAUUAGCUAGUUGGUAAGGUAACGGCUUACCAAGGCGACGAUGCGUAGCCGACCUGAGAGGGUGAUCGGCCACACUGGAACUGAGACACGGUCCAGACUCCUACGGGAGGCAGCAGUAGGGAAUCUUCCGCAAUGGGCGAAAGCCUGACGGAGCAACGCCGCGUGAGUGAUGAAGGUCUUCGGAUCGUAAAACUCUGUUAUUAGGGAAGAACAAAUGUGUAAGUAACUAUGCACGUCUUGACGGUACCUAAUCAGAAAGCCACGGCUAACUACGUG
Molecule: ribosomal RNA, 497 nt
Filed under: uncultured bacterium
Lineage: Bacteria
Description: partial 16S ribosomal RNA
Rfam family: Bacterial small subunit ribosomal RNA
Source: RNAcentral